CCGUAACUAUAACGGUCCUAAGGUAGCGAAAUUCCUUGUCGGGUAAGUUCCGACCCGCACGAAAGGCGUAAUGAUUUGAGCGCUGUCUCGACAAUGCAUCCGGUGAAAUUGAAGUACCAGUGAAGAUGCUGGUUACCUGCGCCAGGACGGAAAGACCCCAUGGAGCUUUACUCCAGUUUGGUACUGGGAUCCGGUGCUGCAUGUACAGGAUAGGUGGGAGGCUAAGAAGGUGUGACGCCAGUCAUACCGGAGCCGCUGUUGGGAUACCACCCUUGCAGUAUUGGGUUUCUAACCAGCCGCCGUGACCCGGCGGUGGGACAAUGCCAGACGGGGAGUUUGACUGGGGCGGUCGCCUCCGAAAGGGUAUCGGAGGCGCCCAAAGGUUCCCUCAGAAUGGACGGAAACCAUUCGAAGAGUGCAAAGGCAGAAGGGAGCUUGACUGCGACACCGACGGGUGGAGCAGGUACGAAAGUAGGGCUUAGUGAUCCGGUGGUAUUAAGUGGGAAUGCCAUCGCUCAACGGAUAAAAGCUACCCUGGGGAUAACAGGCUUAUCACUCCCAAGAGUUCACAUCGACGGAGUGGUUUGGCACCUCGAUGUCGGCUCAUCGCAUCCUGGGGCUGUAGUAGGUCCCAAGGGUUGGGCUGUUCGCCCAUUAAAGCGGUACGCGAGCUGGGUUCAGAACGUCGUGAGACAGUUCGGUCCCUAUCCGGCGUGGGCGUAGGAUAUCUGAGAGGAGCUGUCCUUAGUACGAGAGGACCGGGAUGGACGGGCCGCUGGUGCACCGGUUAGACUGCCAAGUCUACAGCCGGGUAGCCAAGCCCGGAAGGGAUAAACGCUGAAGGCAUCUAAGCGUGAAGCCCCCCUUAAGAUGAGAUAUCCCAUUCGUUAAGAAGUAAACCCCCUUGAAGACGACGAGGUAGAUAGGGCAGAGGUGGAAGUGCAGCAAUGCAUGGAGCUGACUGUUACUAAUCGGGUGAGGGCUUGACCAA
RNAcentral lists this ribosomal RNA (991 nucleotides) under human gut metagenome. RNAcentral's name for it is "bacterial LSU rRNA". It matches the Rfam family "Bacterial large subunit ribosomal RNA", at positions 1934 to 2925 of the family's 2925-position model. The record is from RNAcentral.